ACGGAGAGACACCAUAUUCUGGAAGGUGGUUUUCCUAAGGUGAGGCACAUGCACUCCAGGUGUGCUAACCCCUUUAUUUUCCCCAGAUGCAGGAAACUUGACUGUCUUAUUUGUGGUAGCAGGGGACUGCAUUUCCACUCUCCCCU
RNAcentral lists this small nuclear RNA (146 nucleotides) under Struthio camelus australis. RNAcentral's name for it is "U1 spliceosomal RNA (ENSSCUG00000013250.1)". It matches the Rfam family "U1 spliceosomal RNA". From Rfam's summary of the family: U1 is a small nuclear RNA (snRNA) component of the spliceosome (involved in pre-mRNA splicing). Its 5' end forms complementary base pairs with the 5' splice junction, thus defining the 5' donor site of an intron. The record is from RNAcentral. Lineage: Eukaryota; Metazoa; Chordata; Aves; Struthioniformes; Struthionidae.